RNAcentral lists this transfer RNA (73 nucleotides) under Pseudomonadota bacterium. Its description in RNAcentral is "tRNA-Thr". It matches the Rfam family "tRNA". Rfam says of the family: Transfer RNA (tRNA) molecules are approximately 80 nucleotides in length. Their secondary structure includes four short double-helical elements and three loops (D, anti-codon, and T loops). Further hydrogen bonds mediate the characteristic L-shaped molecular structure. tRNAs have two regions of fundamental functional importance: the anti-codon, which is responsible for specific mRNA codon recognition, and the 3' end, to which the tRNAs corresponding amino acid is attached (by aminoacyl-tRNA synthetases). tRNAs cope with the degeneracy of the genetic code in two manners: having more than one tRNA (with a specific anti-codon) for a particular amino acid; and 'wobble' base-pairing, i.e. permitting non-standard base-pairing at the 3rd anti-codon position. The record is from RNAcentral. Lineage: Bacteria; Pseudomonadati; Pseudomonadota. RNAcentral also lists the same sequence under 2 other names.
GCCCUCAUAGCUCAGGAGGUAGAGCACACCCUUGGUAAGGGUGGGGUCAUGGGUUCAAAUCCCAUUGGGGGCU